CUGCAAUGAUGACUUUCUUAGGACACCUUUGGAUUAACUCAUGAAAAUACUGUGAUUGCUGAGCAGC
This is a small nucleolar RNA of Heteronotia binoei (common prickly gecko), 67 nucleotides long. RefSeq annotates it as small nucleolar RNA SNORD58. The record is from RefSeq and is a predicted model, not a curated record. Lineage: Eukaryota; Metazoa; Chordata; Lepidosauria; Squamata; Gekkonidae. The transcript has a single exon.